Molecule: long non-coding RNA, 302 nt
Organism: Triticum aestivum (bread wheat)
Lineage: Eukaryota; Viridiplantae; Streptophyta; Magnoliopsida; Poales; Poaceae
Exons: 3
Source: RefSeq, a predicted model, not a curated record
AAUGUACCUCCCAUGGCAUCAGUAGAUCAAACCCAAUUCAGCACGCCUUUAGUAAGCAAGAUUGGACCCCGAUUACCAGCACCAGGGAACCAUGAAGGGAUCAGACUGGGCUGUGUGCCACAUUCUUUGCCUGGAACUACGACGGCGACAAACUACAGAUACCACUAAACAAGGACACGCUAUCAUUGCACAGCAGCUUGAUGAUAUAUGAACUAAUGAGGAUGCAAGGGAACCAAACUUCAGUGGCUAACGACGCCCUCGAAGCUGUCAAAGCGUCAUUCACAGCCCUAUAAAAUAGCACA